RNAcentral lists this ribosomal RNA (497 nucleotides) under uncultured bacterium. RNAcentral's name for it is "partial 16S ribosomal RNA". It matches the Rfam family "Bacterial small subunit ribosomal RNA", at positions 28 to 507 of the family's 1533-position model. The record is from RNAcentral.
GAUGAACGCUGGCGGCGUGCCUAAUACAUGCAAGUCGAGCGAACAGACGAGGAGCUUGCUCCUCUGACGUUAGCGGCGGACGGGUGAGUAACACGUGGAUAACCUACCUAUAAGACUGGGAUAACUUCGGGAAACCGGAGCUAAUACCGGAUAAUAUCUUGAACCGCAUGGUUCAAUAGUGAAAGACGGUUUUGCUGUCACUUAUAGAUGGAUCCGCGCUGCAUUAGCUAGUUGGUAAGGUAACGGCUUACCAAGGCAACGAUGCGUAGCCGACCUGAGAGGGUGAUCGGCCACACUGGAACUGAGACACGGUCCAGACUCCUACGGGAGGCAGCAGUAGGGAAUCUUCCGCAAUGGGCGAAAGCCUGACGGAGCAACGCCGCGUGAGUGAUGAAGGUCUUCGGAUCGUAAAACUCUGUUAUUAGGGAAGAACAAAUGUGUAAGUAACUAUGCACGUCUUGACGGUACCUAAUCAGAAAGCCACGGCUAACUACGUG